RNAcentral lists this long non-coding RNA (714 nucleotides) under Nothobranchius furzeri (turquoise killifish). Its description in RNAcentral is "lncRNA (ENSNFUG00015012578.1)". The record is from RNAcentral. Lineage: Eukaryota; Metazoa; Chordata; Actinopteri; Cyprinodontiformes; Nothobranchiidae.
AUGGAAAGCUCACUGCAAGGUAAAAUCAAAAUAUCACAAAUGAUGGAUGAAUACAAAGAUCAACAAUUUUCAGAUGAAAAGAACUCCACAUUUGAUUGUGGAAUCGAAGAGAGGUCGAGAGUCAUUGUGGAACAAGAACUACAAGUUGAUGAUGAAGACCGGAGGCUCUCAGCUCACUCAACAAGUGAAACUGAAAACCAAACGUUGACUGCAGCUAUCCAAGAUUCUGAUGGCGAUUUGGAAGACGACUGUGAUAUUCAUGAUGGAGAGUUGCAACCCACAAGUUUAUCAAAUAAACUUGUCAAAAGAAGGAAAGCCCAAAAAAGACAUGCAGACAAUGAUGGUGACAGGGGAUUGCUGAACUUGUCUGUGGAAGAGAAACAUGGCAAAGGACAAAACUCUAUUACAACUCUCAAUGAGGACAGUGACGGAGAUGAGUAUGGAGAAAAGCCUUUUGGGAUUUCUUCCACAAGCCCGGUCCAAAGAAAGAAAAUGAAAACCAAGCAUGGAGUGGCUGCUGCUGAUCCUGCUCAAUGCGGUCAUUUGCAAAUUAAAGGGAAGACCCCAUGGAAUGAGCAGGAGAAGCUGGCAGUUAAGCAACACUUGGCUGUUUUUGCGGAAGGUGCCAGGAAAAAAGACUGUAUCCUAUGCAUUGAAAAAUCCUCUCCUGUUCUCCAAAAGAGAACCUGGAAAGAUGUGAAAUAUUGUGUAUAA